This 4561-nucleotide long non-coding RNA is filed under the name Homo sapiens (human). RNAcentral's name for it is "HSALNT0387304". The record is from RNAcentral. Lineage: Eukaryota; Metazoa; Chordata; Mammalia; Primates; Hominidae.
GUCCCUUGCUGAACUGCUAAGGCUCAAACAGAAACUUAGAAGCUGCCAGAGCCUCCCUGACCGCUGAGUUUCUGAGCUAGGAAUUAUCAAGUGGUCAAGGGACCCACCGCUAUCAAGGAAGUAUCUGAGGGACACAUUCCAUGCCAAGUGGAACGGUUACUUCUGUCGGUGAGGCACACUGGUGGGACGGGAGGUGGACCUGAGUCGGAAAGAUCUGGUUCUUCCUAGAAAACUUUCACCUUCUGAGCCUUAGGGUCCUGUUCUGUAAGUCAGGAUGGAAAAUACCGGCACCUCUUUCAAUCUGUAACCCUGACCCAUCCUGGACCCAUGUGGUCCACUCUAUGGAGCCGCAUUCAAAAGUCAAGUCCAGAUAAAUCAGCCAAGAGUCACAAAAAGGAACGCUGAGACUGAAUCUGUCUCUUGAAAAACUGAAGGAGAUGAAACGUAAAACCUAGGCCAAUACGGCAUCCCAUCUUCCUCCUCUCCAUUAUUUUCCCGCACCCCAUGAUUUUCUGGGGCCUCUGAUAUACUCAUUGCCACUGGUGUCGCCCCCAUGAACUCACACCAAAGACGGUUUUCAUUCCCCCCGCCCAUCACCCCAAGUCUUUCCCGUCAUCUCUCCCUUCUCCUCUCUCUGCUCCUUCUUUCUCCUUCUCUCUAGUUCUUUCAUCUACCCACCUGCCCACCUUUCUUUCCUCCUUCCAGCACCUGGUCUUACUAUUCUUUGCCCAUUCACCCAUUGCACAUCAAGAAUUAGAAAGAGAUCAGCUCUUCUCAUAGGCCCAGCAGAGCAGAGGAGGCCAGGGCAGCCCAGCAUUCCCCAGGGAGCGGGAGGGGAAAGACCAGGAACAUUCACUUGCCAGCCAUUGGAGACCCUACGAGGACAGGAAGAAACGCGUGACAAGUUGUCGGGGGUGAGUGUACAGUGAAGAGUAAACAUGCAGUUGAUGUUGACGAUGGUGACAGUGACUACUGGCUGAACUUCAUUAACGAUGAGACGCACCCAGUCCACUGAGGCGUCUCUGGAACCAUAACCAGCCUCCUUCCUAGUUACUGUCAACCAAAGCCGCCCUGUCCUAGUGCUGUGAGCAGGACACGCUGCCUGAAUAGCACGAUGAAAUAUCUGUGCAAAACCCAACAUGUCUGAAGCAAGAACCCUACCCGCUCCAGAGGAUGAAUGCUCCUUUGAGCCUCAGAGUCUGUGGUUUUAGUUUGUACCCAGAGAAUUGUUUAAUUUUUAAAAGACCAUGAAAUGAUCUCACAAAAUCCACCCUAUAUCAAGCCCCAAAGCAAACCACAGCGAUCCACACCCGUGUCUUACAUUUGCAUGGAGUCUGGGCUCUAAGUGGACUCUUCUGAUCAGCUGCACAUUAUUUACUUUUGAAAGAUUAAUGACUUCAUUCUUUUGCGAAAGAUGAUGCAUGCUCAUUGCAAAAAAUCUAAACUGUACUGAAAAGCACAAAGAAGAGGAUAAGUUUUAAAAGGCCUCAAAAAUCCCACAACCCAGAAAUAGCCACCAUUAAUAUUUGGUGAACAUCAUUCCAGCGAAGUCUCAUUUAAACUUGCAAAAUACAACCAGCCCUGAGGUGGGUGGCCAUGAGUACAAUCUCCUGUUCUCCACACACAGAUGCCACUCAAGAUGCAGAGGCAACCAGUCUGAGGCAUAGCAGGGCCCAGUGGGCAACGCUGGCACCAACGCAGUUUCAGACACGAGCCCUCGGGGUCGGUACACCCAGCCUCAGCUCAUCCACAGCUCCCCUCCUUGGAGCGGGGAGGACAACAGCUUUCCCGGGAGGGCCCAAGCCCUUGCCUCACAGGCAUCCAUGGGAGAGUCUGCAGAGGCUGUAUUCAGAGCCAGAAGAUCCCAGGGCUUGUACCAAGGGCUAAAAUUUCAUGAGGACAUACCAUGUGCCAGCACAGUGCUAGCUCUUAUGAGCUUUAUCCCACUCAAUCCUCACAGUAUCCCAUGAGUUGGGGGCUUGUCAUAGGGAGGACCCUGAGACAAGGGACUGAGUGCAAAUGGCUUACUGAUCUGAGAGGGAACAGCAGGAAAUACUGGUGGGGAGAGUGGGGAAGUGAGACGGGCAAGAGAAGACAGUCAAUAAACAGGGCACUGUCAAGCACAUGAUAUAGGCAAUGAGGGCUCACUCCUGCUGGGGGCUCUAGGGGACAGUGCAGAUCACACUCAGAGUUGACGUUCCUAAAGAGUGAGGGAGCUGGCCAUUUGUCCAUUAGCUCCCUAAACUCUUCAGGGCUUUUUUUUUUUUUUUUUUUUUUUUUUUUUUUUUUUUCUGAGACAGAGUCUUGCUCUGUCACUCAAGCUGGAGUGUAGUGGUGAGAUCUCAGCUCACUAUAAUCUCCACCUCCCAGGUUCAAGUGAUUCUCCUGCCUCAGCCUCCCAAGAAGCUGGGAUUACAGGUGUGCACCACCAUGCCCAGCUAAUUUUUGUAUUUUUAGUAGAGAUGGGCUUCACCAUGUUGGCCAGGCUGGUCUUGAACUCCUGAUCUCACGUGAUCCACCCGCCUCGGCCUCCCAAAGUGCUGGGAUUACAGGCGGCAGCCACUGCGCCUGGCCAACUCUUCAGGGCUUCUGACUGCCGUGUGCCCAGGCCAAAGUGAUCCCACAGCCAGAAAAAAGCAUGCGCUCUGCAGGGUCACAGGUGUUCAUGGUGCACAGCUGGCAGCCCUCACGCGAUGCUGAGGGGGUGGCCAGCUGCAGCUUCUGCCAGAGGAUUGUUGGUGUUCUCUGUGCACAGAAGCCUAUCAUGGCCCCGAGAGGUCAAGAGACUUGCCCAGAGUCAAGCAGCUAGAAAGGGACAAUUCAGGAAUGAAAACUGGCUCUGGCCACUGCAAAGCUCUUUCCAUCACAUCAGUGAGGGCCACGAUGGUCGGGUGAAGAGGAUAUCAGAUUUGCCAAGAGAUCCUGAAGAAGUGUCAAGAAUGCUUGGUGACACAAGGACAAGAUCCAGAAACAAGAUCCACAAGGCUCUGAGAGUGGAGGCCAGAAAACAGUUUGCCAAGGUCUGGCUUUAAAAGUCAAAUUCCAGCCUAGGAGUAAGCAUGCAAAGAAGAUGCUCAACGUCAUUAGCCCUCGGGAAAACGCAAGCUAAAACCAUAAAGAGAUACGACUUCGUCCUACGAGGAUGGCUGUAAUAGAAAAUGACAGACAACGCCAAGUGUUGGCAAAGGUGUGGAGAAACUGGGAAUCUUGUGUGUUGCUGGUGGGAAGGUAAACUGGUACAGCCACCUUGGAAAAUUGUUUGAAAGUUUCUUAAAACAUUAUACAUAAAUUUAUCAUAUGACCCAGCAAUUCUGUUCCUAGAAAUCUACCCAAGAGAAAGAGAAACAAACUCCAAAGACAUGCCCAAGAAUGUCCAUAGCAGCAUUCUUCACAGAAACAACUUAAAUUCAUCAACUGAUGAAUGGAUAAACAAGAUGUGGUAUAGCCAUUCAACCAAACAGUAUUUGGCAAUAAAAAGGAUUGAAUUACCCACAUGCUACAAGACGGAUGCAACUCAUAACCACUACACUAAGGGAAAGAAGCCAGAUAAGAAAGACAUAGUGUAUGAUUUCUCUUAUGUGAAAUGUCUAGAAAGGCAAUUUCACAGAGACAGAAAGUGGAACAUUCAUUGCCUGGGGCACAGAACAGGAAUGAGACUGCAAACAAGCAUGAGGGCAUCUUUCAAGAUGGUGGAAAUGCUCUAAAACUGAAUUGUGGUGAUGACUGUACAACUUUAUAAAUUUACUAAGAUCACUGAAUUGUGUACUCACAGUGGGUGAAUUUUAUGGUAUGUGGAUUCCAUUUCAAUAAUGCUAUUUUUUAAAAAUGCUAUCCUAGGGAGGUAGUCAUCAGACAAAACCAAAGGUAGUAUGGCUCAGUGGCGAAGCGUAUAGGCUUCACGAGCAGACUCCAGAUCAAAUCUAAGCUCUACUUCAUCCAUCCACCCAUCCAUCAUCUACUCACCCACCUACCAUUCACCCACACAUCCAUCCAUCUGCCCAACCACCCACCCAUCCAUCCAUCCAUCCAUCCAUCCAUCCACCCACCCGCCCACCCAUCCAUCCAUUAAUCCAUCCACUCAUUCAUUCAUCCAUCUACUUAUCCAUCCAACCAUUCACCUACCCUCUCAACUAUCCACCCACCCAACUAUCCACCCACCCACCCAUCCAUCCUUCACCCACCUCAUCAUCCAUUCAUCACCCAUCUACCAUCCAUACUUCCAUCACUCACUCAUCGAUCUAUUCACCCUUCCAUCCAAUCAUCCCAUGAAGAUCUACUAUGACGUGCCAAGCACUAUGUUAAGUACUAAGGAUAACCAUGGUGAACAAAGCAGACAAGCCCCGGUGCUCAUGAAACUUACAGUCUAUUACUUGCACCAGUUUCCUUGUCUGCAAAUCAGGAUAAGAAUAACUACUGUCAAAGGCUUGCUGUGACUAUUUCAUGAGAUAAUAUAUAAAACACUUAGCUCAGUUCCUGGCUAAACAGCAGCUCUGAUUGUUUUCACCUACCAAGUUCUGUAAAGGAGUAGUCCAGGGAGGUAGAACUCAGGAGGGCUCCCCAC